This 655-nucleotide ribosomal RNA is filed under the name Dinophysis acuminata. RNAcentral describes it as "LSU rRNA". It matches the Rfam family "Eukaryotic large subunit ribosomal RNA", at positions 51 to 624 of the family's 3401-position model. Lineage: Eukaryota; Dinophyceae; Dinophysales; Dinophysaceae. The record is from RNAcentral.
CGGAGGACAAGAAACUAAACAGGAUCCCCAUAGUAAUGGCGAAUGAACCGGGAUAAACUCAGCAUGGAAAUUGGGGCCUUUGGCUUUGACUUGUAAUCUGGUGAGGCAUUGCCAACAGAGGCGCAUAUGUAAGUCUCUUGGAAAAGAGCAUCAACGAAGGUGAGAGUCCUGAUUGUCAUGUGCAGCCCCCCUGUGCACGGUGUGCCUUCUAAGAGUCACGUUCCUUGGGAUUGGAGCGCAAAUUGGGUGGUAACUUUCAUCUGAAGUUAAACAAUGGUUUGGGACCGAUAGGAAACAAGUACCAUGAGGGAAAGGUGAAAAGGACUUUGGAAAGAGAGUUAAAAGUGCCUGAAAUUGCUGAAGGGGAAGCGAAUGGAACCAGUGGUGCUGGGUGAGAUUGUCACAUGCUGCAAGGAUUGGUUGCUGCCACAACGCAAGUGUGCUGGCAAUUUGUGAACUGCUAGUGUGUGGUGUGUCUUACCUAGUGGGUCAUUGUGGGUUUAUGCAUUAAGAUAAAUCAAAGCAAGCGGGAGCAAGUUUACGAGUUUGUGAAUGUGUGUUGUUAUGCUUGUGCGUAAGCUUUAGUGUUUGUCUGGCUGCAGGGCUGUCCAUCCUCAAGCUUUGCUGUGGUUGCGAUGAGCAUAACCUUCUGCAC